GAUGAACGCUGACAGAAUGCUUAACACAUGCAAGUCAACUUGAAUUUGGGUUUUUAACUUCGGUUUGGGUGGCGGACGGGUGAGUAACGCGUAAAGAACUUGCCUCACAGCUAGGGACAACAUUUGGAAACGAAUGCUAAUACCUAAUAUUAUAAUAAUAGGGCAUCCUAUAAUUAUGAAAGCUAUAAGCGCUGUGAGAGAGCUUUGCGUCCCAUUAGCUAGUUGGAGAGGUAACGGCUCACCAAGGCGAUGAUGGGUAGCCGGCCUGAGAGGGUGAUCGGCCACAAGGGGACUGAGACACGGCCCUUACUCCUACGGGAGGCAGCAGUGGGGAAUAUUGGACAAUGGACCGAGAGUCUGAUCCAGCAAUUCUGUGUGCACGAUGAAGUUUUUCGGAAUGUAAAGUGCUUUCAGUUGGGAAGAAACAAAUGACGGUACCAACAGAAGAAGUGACGGCUAAAUACGUG
RNAcentral lists this ribosomal RNA (467 nucleotides) under uncultured bacterium. RNAcentral describes it as "partial 16S ribosomal RNA". It matches the Rfam family "Bacterial small subunit ribosomal RNA", at positions 28 to 507 of the family's 1533-position model. The record is from RNAcentral.